ACUCCUGCGGGAGGCAGCAGUGGGGAAUUUUGGACAAUGGGCGAAAGCCUGAUCCAGCAAUGCCGCGUGAGUGAAGAAGGCCUUCGGGUUGUAAAGCUCUUUUGUCAGGGAAGAAACGGUGAGAGCUAAUAUCUUUUGCUAAUGACGGUACCUGAAGAAUAAGCACCGGCUAACUACGUGCCAGCAGCCGCGGUAAUACGUAGGGUGCAAGCGUUAAUCGGAAUUACUGGGCGUAAAGCGUGCGCAGGCGGUUUUGUAAGUCUGAUGUGAAAUCCCCGGGCUCAACCUGGGAAUUGCAUUGGAGACUGCAAGGCUAGAAUCUGGCAGAGGGGGGUAGAAUUCCACGUGUAGCAGUGAAAUGCGUAGAUAUGUGGAGGAACACCGAUGGCGAAGGCAGCCCCCUGGGUCAAGAUUGACGCUCAUGCACGAAAGCGUGGGGAGCAAACAGGAUUAGAUACCCCGGUAGUCCCAUGA
RNAcentral lists this ribosomal RNA (474 nucleotides) under uncultured organism. RNAcentral describes it as "partial 16S ribosomal RNA". It matches the Rfam family "Bacterial small subunit ribosomal RNA", at positions 335 to 800 of the family's 1533-position model. The record is from RNAcentral.